GCACACAUGCCCGAGUGGUCUAAGGGGUCGCACUCAAGAUGCGUUGAUUUAUUUCGGAGUAGUUCAAAUCUCACUGUGUGCA
Molecule: transfer RNA, 82 nt
Filed under: Paramecium tetraurelia
Lineage: Eukaryota; Ciliophora; Oligohymenophorea; Peniculida; Parameciidae
Description: tRNA-Leu for anticodon CAA
Rfam family: tRNA
About the family: Transfer RNA (tRNA) molecules are approximately 80 nucleotides in length. Their secondary structure includes four short double-helical elements and three loops (D, anti-codon, and T loops). Further hydrogen bonds mediate the characteristic L-shaped molecular structure. tRNAs have two regions of fundamental functional importance: the anti-codon, which is responsible for specific mRNA codon recognition, and the 3' end, to which the tRNAs corresponding amino acid is attached (by aminoacyl-tRNA synthetases). tRNAs cope with the degeneracy of the genetic code in two manners: having more than one tRNA (with a specific anti-codon) for a particular amino acid; and 'wobble' base-pairing, i.e. permitting non-standard base-pairing at the 3rd anti-codon position.
Source: RNAcentral